RNAcentral lists this long non-coding RNA (257 nucleotides) under Elaeis guineensis (African oil palm). RNAcentral describes it as "long non-coding RNA (EGUI_LNC016234)". The record is from RNAcentral. Lineage: Eukaryota; Viridiplantae; Streptophyta; Magnoliopsida; Arecales; Arecaceae.
CCCAAAAUUUUAUAAACACUACAAAGAAUCCCUGCUGCCGCUUUUCAUUAGGGUAUGUAACGAUGCAAGUGUCACAUAAGAAAUUAAAUCUUAUAAAAUAUUAUAAAUAUUUUUUUAAAUUUUUUUAAUUUUAAUACAAAAUAGAGUAGAGAGAAAGAAGAAUCAUAUGACAUAUACAUGAUCAUCAUCUUUUUUUAAUUUUUUAGUCAUAUUUUUUGUUCUCCAUUCUUUACAAAGAAGUGAGAAAAAAGAUGAAA